AUGUCAACGAGCUGCGUUACAAUAUGCGCGUGGGCCAUCAGUUGGGUUUCGACAGCGCGCACGCGUUCGCCGCUUCCCUUCGCAUUACGUCACUUAUUAGGCGCGUCUUUCACGCUCCGUCACCCGUUCUCGAUCGGUGCCUUUUUCAGUUCCGAUUCGGCUCGCGCCUCCCUUCCCGCCAGGUCCGAACCAACGCUCCACACGGGGAAUGACAUUACCGUUCAGAAAAAAAAAAAUAUAUUAAUUACGCGACCCGGCUCUGCAAAACAUUCCACGGGCUUUGAGGUUGUGCCGUGGGCCGUUUGCUUCGCAGACUUUCCCGGGUCUGUGGCGCAGCCAUGGCGAGGCGGCGGAGACGAAAGGAGACGAAUCGCUUAGGAAGCGGCUGUGGCUUCGGCGCAGCGUCGCCACUAAAUCGGAAGGGCCAUAUAUUCAUAUUAGCCUAAGGUGGCAGCAGCAUGAUGUCACGGGCGCUGCGGGGCCACAAAUCACAGAUGCUGGGAGCCAGGGGAUUUCCUCACUGUCGCUCGACGUUUUGAAAAUUGUGACAUGUGGAGCUCUUUUCCCAGGCUGUGUGAUGAGCAGGAGGAUCCUCCCAUGAUGAUCCAUGUGGUGGGACCCACUGGACUCUGUCUGUUCUGGUCCACGGCGAUCGAGAGGUGGGAGGGCUGUGGAUUUAUCACCCCCCCCGCUGGCAGCCCGGCCUCACGGGUGGCUGAGUACUAAGCCGGAGGAGGUGUUCGCACCGGGGACCGACCUUCUCCGAGUGCCUCACCGGAUGCUCGAGAGAGGAAGGAGACGCCUUGAAAACACAACAGAAGAAGGAACAAUGUUGGAUCGCUGUGACGGCAGGACCAGCUGGACACACCGCACUGCGCAUCCCGGCGAAGAACGCUCGUGGCCGUGCUGGGGGGGGGCGGGGAGGGGUUGAAGAUGGGGCUCCGCCAUCUGCCUCCUGCUCGUGACAGCGCCUGGGGCUGACCCCCCAGGGGAAAUAGCUACGGAUAAGUUAUUCAAUUAGAGGGGCAUUAUUGGCUCAGCAGCGCAGGGAGCAGGGCUGAUGGCGAUGUGAUUAUCCCCUCCUGCAUUCCGUCGUGUCCCUGGCAGCUCGGCCUACCGCGGCACCUAGGAGACACACUCCCUGGAUGGGAGGUGAAAGCUGAGACUCGAUGGGGGUGGGGGGGAGCGGCAGAGGAAAUGGAGUGAGGGUUAGAAACGGCGGUCUAUCAGAGAUGCCUGACCGGUUUCAAAUGAAGCUCCCCGGAACCCGGGCCACUGGUCAUACGCUCCCGCUGAGACGGGCGGAGCGGCAGGGCCAGGGAGAGGAGCGUCGAGAGGAGAUGUAUGGCAGAAAGCUGGCAGCACCGGAAGAGAAGGG
Molecule: long non-coding RNA, 1378 nt
Filed under: Scleropages formosus (Asian bonytongue)
Lineage: Eukaryota; Metazoa; Chordata; Actinopteri; Osteoglossiformes; Osteoglossidae
Description: lncRNA (ENSSFOG00015028620.1)
Source: RNAcentral